GAAGAGGUUCCUGACCCAGAUCGCUUCAGACUGCCAUGUGCAUAAACCACCUUGGAUUUUGCUUAAAGCCAGAUUCUGUCAUAAGAGGUCCUGGUGGGAGUCAAGACUGCAUCUGUGAUAGGUGAUGUCCAUCAAGUCAGCCUCAAGCAAGGUCCUAGAGGACAGAAGUCCAGUAUUUGCAGCAGAUAAGAUGAACUGAGAAGCCAAAUGGUUUCAGAGGGUUGCUCCUUGAUCAUUGUGAUGGGAAGCAUGCUGGCAGGCAGGCAGGCAUGGUGCUGGAGAAGUCGUUGAGAGCUCACAUCUGAUCUACAUGUUGCAGAUCCUCUGGACGUCAGCAUGGAUCAGAGCCACCGUGUGAUGGAUCCCAUUUGCCAUUCUGGAAGCCUGGCCGGGAGCCGAUGAGUAUUUGUGCUGCUGGGACCUUGCACUUGGCUUCCUCAUCCUCCCCGCAGAAUGAUGAAUCUACCAGCCUGGCCCGAAACAUUAACCCUUUAUCUCCAGUUCCCCAUCUUCCUCUCUGAGUGACCCUAGGACUCGUAAUGUCCUGCUUUUGCUCUCAUGGCAACUCCUCAGAUGCCUCUCUCAUGUGUAUGAGGGGAAAGCAUUCAUGGGGCUUCCAUACGACCCAAAAGCAUGGGUCUAUAGCUCCAGCAGAAAGCAGCCACACCCCAAUCCCAUCCCUUUGGGUCCUCUGGAAGAUGAGGGCCUCUUGACUUCACAUCUGCCCCUCUCUAACUUGCUAUGCUCCUGAGCUUUCUGUAGUGACUGAACCAAAGAGAUCUACGUUCUCAGGCCUUCCAGAGUCUGGGACUGUGGCAGAGACACUCCCAGCAGGUUCCAGAGCAGGAGGCAUGUGGGAAUUGCUACCCUGAGUUACAUUUCCCUGCCCCCAUUUGAGGUGCUUAUCUGCAAAGAAUCAUAACUUCCCUCUGCUCCUGGAGGCAGGUCUCAAGUAAAAGCUUUGGGUGGUAGAGAGUUCAACAAAAAUGGCAGGUAUAAUUGAUCCAGCAUGUAUUAAUCAAAGUUAAAAAUAGAUAUCUGGCCGGGCAGUGGCAGUGCACGCCUUUAAUCCCAGCACUCAGGAGGCAGAGGCAGGUG
Non-coding RNA from Myodes glareolus (Bank vole), 1098 nucleotides. Lineage: Eukaryota; Metazoa; Chordata; Mammalia; Rodentia; Cricetidae. The record is from RefSeq and is a predicted model, not a curated record.